GCAGGGAUACCCGAGCUUGGCCUAAGGGGCAGGACUUAGGAUCCUGUGGUUAGUCCUUCGAGAGUUCAAAUCUCUCUCCCUGCA
RNAcentral lists this transfer RNA (84 nucleotides) under Thermoplasmata archaeon. RNAcentral's name for it is "tRNA-Leu". It matches the Rfam family "tRNA". Rfam says of the family: Transfer RNA (tRNA) molecules are approximately 80 nucleotides in length. RNAcentral also lists the same sequence under 1 other name. The record is from RNAcentral. Lineage: Archaea; Methanobacteriati; Thermoplasmatota; Thermoplasmata.